RNAcentral lists this transfer RNA (97 nucleotides) under Streptomyces achromogenes. Its description in RNAcentral is "tRNA-Tyr". The record is from RNAcentral. Lineage: Bacteria; Bacillati; Actinomycetota; Actinomycetes; Kitasatosporales; Streptomycetaceae.
GGCCGCUGCGGCAAGACACGGCUGGUGAAACCAUCGUGGCGCGCAGACUGUAAAUCUGCCGGCUCAGCCUUCCCAGGUUCGAAUCCUGGCGCCGCCA